This 351-nucleotide ribosomal RNA is filed under the name uncultured bacterium. RNAcentral describes it as "bacterial SSU rRNA". It matches the Rfam family "Bacterial small subunit ribosomal RNA", at positions 8 to 363 of the family's 1533-position model. The record is from RNAcentral.
AGAGUUUGAUCCUGGCUCAGAUUGAACGCUGGCGGCAUGCCUUACACAUGCAAGUCGAACGGCAGCGCGGGGCAACCUGGCGGCGAGUGGCGAACGGGUGAGUAAUAUAUCGGAACAUACCCUAGAGUGGGGGAUAACGUAGCGAAAGUUACGCUAAUACCGCAUACGAUCUGAGGAUGAAAGUGGGGGAUCGCAAGACCUCAUGCUCAUGGAGUGGCCGAUAUCUGAUUAGCUAGUUGGUAGGGUAAAAGCCUACCAAGGCGACGAUCAGUAGCUGGUUUGAGAGAACGACCAGCCACACUGGAACUGAGACACGGUCCAGACUCCUACGGGAGGCAGCAGUGGGGAAUU